UCAAAAGUCCCCAGAACCAUUAAGAGAGGCAUGAGGGUCACAUCAUGAGCCGCAUAGAGGUACAGCUUUCUGCAAGAAACAAACAGCUGUCCACAAUGCUUUUCUCAGGUCUCUGGAGGCCAGAACAUUGCCUGUGUCCUGUGAAUAACUGACAACACUUCCUUCAGAAACCAGUUGGUUUCUAGAAAUCAGCCGAGCCUGGUCUGAAACUCCUUUGAAACAGCUCCCGUACCUAAAUCCUUUGAACGUUAAAGCAAAAGGAAAGAGUGAGUGAUUAAAAGACACUCAGCAAGGUGGUGGAUCCUAGUUCUAUGUAACAGGAAAUGAAAGCACUACGUCACCAGCCUCAACUCAGAAGUAGAAGGACCAGGAUCUGCAGUGUGGGGUCACUUCAGUCUCUUCACAGUGAUGCCAGAUGGCAGACAGAAGAGCUCCAAGAAGCAAAUCACAAGAUCACUCCUUAAGGACAAUGAACGCCUUCAACACGCCCUGGCUCUGCCACCAGGAGCUCUUCUACAGCUUGCGCACUGGGGAAGGCAAGUACCAGCCUUGUUCAGUGUAGCACAUGCCUGACACUGGACCACAAAUGGACUGGAGCAGGUAGAGACCAAGAUCAGACUGGCAUUUCCCUCCCCAUUCCAAAACACCCCCGCCAUGAAGCACUACCAGC
Non-coding RNA from Heterocephalus glaber (naked mole-rat), 670 nucleotides. The record is from RefSeq and is a predicted model, not a curated record. Lineage: Eukaryota; Metazoa; Chordata; Mammalia; Rodentia; Bathyergidae.